CUUGUCUGUUCUGUUACCAUGCUGCUACCCAACUGUGCAAAGUAGUUUAGGGUGGCCAGAACCCAGGGACCAUUGGAUUUCAAAGCUUGCUUUUUCUGUUGGUUCUUCUCUCUCCUUCUCUCUCUGUCUCUCCCAUUCUCCUGCCCAUGCAUGAAAGGAUCCUCCACCUUCUUCCCACCCAGAGCUCCCUCCAGUGAGCAGAGUGCUGACAGUCAUGGUCCCCUUCUUUGGGUCUGUCUUUUGAGAGAGGUUGAGUUCAGGGCAAGACAGCCUGCCACACAUCCAAGGGUACGACCAGUGGGACCCUGGCCUGAGUCUGUUCUCCGAGGGGCCUCCAGCAGCUUCUGUUCCUCCCUGCAGCUGUGUCUUUCUUGUCCUGGGUUUAGGAUGCAGGUGGGCCAGGCAGGUGUUGUUAGGGGAGGCACCCACUUCAAAAGGAGGGCCACAGUGGGGACACAGAGUCCAGCACCUGAGCCCUCCACCCUCCCCAUUCUGGUUGGUUCCAUCAGCCACACUUAGAAUCUCCCAGGAUCCCUUGGACUCCGUCCCCCAACUUGUCACAGCAGCCUGAGCCUACCCACCCCAGGAGACAAGAGCUGGCAGGAACAUCUGCCUAUAUGGGGGGUGGCGUUGGCCCCAAAGAGGCUUCACCAGCAAAGGAACUGUGUGUAUUUUAAUGCCAGGGGACGGAGGAUGUGUGAGCUGUUCAGCAAGGUCUGCCCAAGGCCUAAAACUCAAUUUCCUUAUUCUUUUGCUUCUGCUCGUCCUUAACAACUAACAGCUCAACCCACACCUCUAGACAACAGUAGUCGUGCUUUCUGCUAACGGUGACAUUUUCAGCUCUUAAAAAGAAGCAAGGAGAUUUUCAAAUGCUAGAGUAUCUCUAUCAGAAGGCAUAGGACAUUGUGUCCAAAGUCUCAAGAACAAACAACACUUUCCUUCUGACCUGGUCCAAAAGUCAGCAAACAGCAAGCAGGCAGAGGCCCUCAUAAGGACUUUUCUGUCCUCCUUUGACCAAACUGUUUAACCGAGCCUAGGGGUGACGGGGAGCGACCCAAGCUGGCAUCUUUCUCUACGGAGACAGAUUUUAGAAAAUACUUUUCUUGCCCAUGAAUUUCUUUUCUGGUUGAUUUUUAUCAUUUUCCCUUUACUUACAAGAAAAUAAGAUUGCAACCACUCCUGCUAAUGAUUUAGUAGUUCCUUUUCAUUUCAGUUUUUGUAAAUUAGGAGAUAAUUCUAAGAGUUACUAAAGGAUGAUUUAUUUAAGAGAACUACGUCAAAUAGCGAAUGAGUUAUGGGUAACAUUAGACGAAAAUAACCUUUCCCGUGGGAAAGGUUUCUCGAAGGCAUGGAUGCAAAUAUAAAAUAUUAAAA
This 1374-nucleotide long non-coding RNA is filed under the name Homo sapiens (human). Its description in RNAcentral is "HSALNT0002054". Lineage: Eukaryota; Metazoa; Chordata; Mammalia; Primates; Hominidae. The record is from RNAcentral.